UGCCAUGAAAAGGCGACGCUGGGAAGUGCGCGUGGCAGUUGGCGCAGUCACGCGAGCGGAGUCUUCGGGUUGCGGGUCCUCUGGCUGCGCUGGGAGUGAUCCGGCUGUGCAGCGCUGGCUGGGGCCGCUGGACGCCGGCCAUGAACUCCGGAGCCGCGUGAGUCUGGGGUCCCAGUCUGCAUUGACCCGGGAUCAGUAAACCCAGCACGGUGGAGUAAAGGAAGCAGCUACCACCGAGCAUAUCUGAGGCGAUGGGGGCGGAUCUGCCCAAGCUUCAGCUGAAGAACGAAUAGGCACGAAGGCGUGAAGGAAUCAGUCAUCUUGGCGGUGCUCGUGCGCUUCAUACUAAGUCCGAAGCAUGCAAAUCAAAAGCAACAAUGUACUGUCUGACAAGGAGAAGACUGAAAAAAAAAACAAACUGAAUGCCAAGAUUGAUGAAAAUGUGAGUUUGUAAACAAAGACAAGCUCUUAUGACCUGCAGGAGGAGGGAUUCAAUAACUUUGGCCAUUUAGAAAUUUCUAGUAGAUAAAGAUAUUCUACAAUUCGGCAGUUUCCCUCAGGAUAUGUACCCUGAAGCAGAGUACCCAGCUGUGCAAAAGAAAAAAGAAUGUUCAUUGCAUCGACUCUCCUAGUGGAGGUGGGGGAUGGGAGAAAAGCAAUCAAAAUGUCAUCUGCAGGAGAACUGACAAAUCAGUUUCCCGGUAGAAUACUCUGAGGUAAUAAAAAUAAAUUAACUUUUA
Molecule: long non-coding RNA, 740 nt
Organism: Onychomys torridus (southern grasshopper mouse)
Lineage: Eukaryota; Metazoa; Chordata; Mammalia; Rodentia; Cricetidae
Exons: 2
Source: RefSeq, a predicted model, not a curated record